This 212-nucleotide long non-coding RNA is filed under the name Panax ginseng (ginseng). Its description in RNAcentral is "long non-coding RNA (PGIN_LNC009496)". The record is from RNAcentral. Lineage: Eukaryota; Viridiplantae; Streptophyta; Magnoliopsida; Apiales; Araliaceae.
AAGAGUCAAGUAGAAAAUAAAAUCUACUAUCUUUUAUGAUUUAAAAGGUUUUUCAUCACUUUUAUCGCUGGGACUCGGCUUAAUAAAUAAUCCACAUCAUCCCUGCACUACGGCCAAGGAUAUUCAUUAGUAUCACAACCACAAAUUAUCCAUGCACUACGGGCCAAGGAUAUUCGUGUAUUCAUCAAUGGUCAUGAUCAUGCCAACAACUG